Regulatory RNA element from Eubacterium sp. CAG:603, 145 nucleotides. It matches the Rfam family "Ribosomal protein L10 leader". Rfam says of the family: This family is a putative r-protein leader autoregulatory structure found in B. subtilis and other low-GC Gram-positive bacteria. NCBI's taxonomy places the organism in Bacteria, Bacillati, Bacillota, Clostridia, Eubacteriales, Eubacteriaceae. The record is from Rfam.
ACACAUUGUGUUUAAAGACCGAAGACAGCAGGUGUAUCGCAAGGUACUCAAAGUAUUUGCCUGCCGAGGAUUUUAAAAUAACUCAUUGAGUAUUUAUACCUCUUUGUCUGAGCGCGCUUUGACAAAGAGGUUUUUAUUGUUAAGA